AAGCGGUGGAGGAUGUGGCUUAAUUCGAGGCUACGCGAAGAACCUUAUCCUAGUCUUGACAUGCACGGAUUAACCCCUGGAAACAGGGGCCACGCCUUCGGGUGGAACGUGCACAGGUGCUGCAUGGCUGUCGUCAGCUCGUGUCGUGAGAUGUCGGGUUAAGUCCCUUAACGAGCGAAACCCUUGUCACUAGUUGCCAGCGCGUCAUGGCGGGGACUCUAGCGAGACUGCCGGUGUUAAACCGGAGGAAGGUGGGGAUG
Molecule: ribosomal RNA, 260 nt
Filed under: uncultured Planctomycetota bacterium
Lineage: Bacteria; Pseudomonadati; Planctomycetota
Description: uncultured planctomycete partial 16S ribosomal RNA
Rfam family: Bacterial small subunit ribosomal RNA
Source: RNAcentral